This 500-nucleotide ribosomal RNA is filed under the name uncultured bacterium. Its description in RNAcentral is "partial 16S ribosomal RNA". It matches the Rfam family "Bacterial small subunit ribosomal RNA", at positions 29 to 523 of the family's 1533-position model. The record is from RNAcentral.
AUUGAACGCUGGCGGCAUGCCUUACACAUGCAAGUCGAACGGCAGCACGGGAGCAAUCCUGGUGGCGAGUGGCGAACGGGUGAGUAAUACAUCGGAACGUGCCCAGUAGUGGGGGAUAGCCCGGCGAAAGCCGGAUUAAUACCGCAUGAGACCUGAGGGUGAAAGCGGGGGAUCGCAAGACCUCGCGCUAUUGGAGCGGCCGAUGUCAGAUUAGCUAGUUGGUAGGGUAAAGGCCUACCAAGGCAACGAUCUGUAGUUGGCCUGAGAGGACGACCAGCCACACUGGGACUGAGAAACGGCCCAGACUCCUACGGGAGGCAGCAGUGGGGAAUUUUGGACAAUGGGCGCAAGCCUGAUCCAGCAAUGCCGCGUGCAGGAAGAAGGCCUUCGGGUUGUAAACUGCUUUUGUCAGGGAAGAAAUCUUCUGGGCUAAUACCCUGGGAGGAUGACGGUACCUGAAGAAUAAGCACCGGCUAACUACGUGCCAGCCGCCGCCGUAA